RNAcentral lists this long non-coding RNA (2194 nucleotides) under Haliotis rubra (blacklip abalone). Its description in RNAcentral is "uncharacterized LOC124265844". The record is from RNAcentral. Lineage: Eukaryota; Metazoa; Mollusca; Gastropoda; Lepetellida; Haliotidae.
UUCAUGUCCUGUCUAUCGGUCUUAAACUCCAGGAUCGCAAUUUCCUCCGCGAUUGCCACCGUCAGAUGGGCAGGAAGGGGAACAGCACCACUCUGAGAAGCAACUACUACCCUCCUCUUACUGGACCCGUGAAGCCAGGUCAAGUUCGUUAUGAGAACACUCCGAUUUUGGGACAGUGACACUGUUGUUCCAAGACGACAUUGGAGGCUUAGAGGUGAUGAACACUGAUGACGUGUAUGUUCCUGUCAAUCCUGUCCCCGGCGCCAUCGUGGUCAACAUCGGUGACAUGAUGCAGCGAUGGACUGCAGAUAACAUUAGAGCCGCAAAACACCGAGUCCUGAUUCCUGAAUCGGAAGUGAAGAAACGUCAGUACCGACAGUCGCUUGCAUUUUUUGUCAACCCUGAUGAUGACACCAUCAUUAAAAGUCUGGAUGGUUCCGACAAAUACGAAUCCAUCUCAAGCUUGGAUUAUCUGGAGCACAAGUUCCGUCAGAUUUUUUAGUUUAAAAAAAGAAACUUAGCAAAUAUGUACAUGAUGAUUUCCUCUAAAGAACACUAGCCCUUGACUUUCCAAACUUUGUGUUAUUUCAGUACAAAAUUUGCUGAAUGAAAUGAAUUGCCCCACUCCUUCUACACAGUCUUGUUCCUCGUUGAGGAAAAAACUGACAUCAUUAUUUGAAAGCAUUUCUGCUUGAAUUGAUCAAUGACCCAAUCUUGCAACAUAAGGUUUUCCUGUGCAAACAUAAUUUUUAAGUUUAACACUCGAUUCUCAGUAUUUGCACUAUUUUGUAUUGAAUUCAUAAUUGUUACGAGUCGAUUUUCAAUUUUUUCAAUAAGCUGACAAAAUAUCUGUUCGUAAUUUUGAGUGAUACCAAAAAUGUUGGUUGCUGUUUGGAUGUUCAUGUUCACUGAAAACAGAAUUGUUUUCUUACAUAGUUUGAACUAAACCAGUCCCCUGUGUUUAUGUGUUUAAACCAAACCGGAAGUAGUGCCCAUGUCGGUAUUAAGGUUGCAGUAUUUUUCAGCCAUUUAAUGGGACUAUGUGUAUAGGCGAAGCACUGGCCGCUAUCAUAUUCUUUCAGUCCGAGGGUUCAGAUAUGCACAACGAACUAAAUAAAGCGCCCCCUGUAUGUUUGUUUGAUAGGUUUUCAACACGCUCAUAAAACGUCUCGUGGUGACCACGAUGGAAAAACAUGUUUGACAUGUAUGAACUUUUGACUCAUAAACAACGACAAAAUGAUUGGAAUCUGUGUUGAGUUCAUGAUUCCAAUUGCUCUUUUUUUUAAAAAACAACAUUGAUUUUUCAUACAUAACUAUGUCUGAACAGGUAUGGCCCUGGAAUGUUUAAGGUUGAAUUUUUUGGUAAGUGUGAACAUUCAAAAUGUCUUUUUGCAUGUCUUACCCGAUUCAAGAUCAAUACCGAGUCUAGCCGAGACUGUAUGACAGCCAGCACUCUCCUCCUCAUACCCUCUAUCAGCCUCCUGAUCCUCCGAAGGGGUAGUCCACGCCAUUCCUCAUGUAAAGCAGCUUCCAAUUGGGCCAGGUUCUGUACAGGAGGAUCCCCUUGUUGCACACGACGACCAGCCAUGUCCCAAACAUGCUCCAAUGGGUUAAGACCGGGGCUCAUUCAGUCGUGAGAUACGUCAGUGGGUGCUUAACUACGUUCUUUGUGUAUGUAUUGUCGUCAGUACCGUGUUCCAUAGACUUCGAUAAACUGUAUUCUGAAGACACAAUCUCUUCGCUCAUAUACUAAAAGGUGCACAAACCCGGACUCUCGCUAACCUUAGUGAGAGAGUAUGGUUUUACGACGCUUCUUUUGUAGCAAUAUCACGGCUUGAGACACCAGAAAUGGGUUUUACACGUGUGGGGAAUCGAACCCGGGUCUUCGGCGUGACGAGCGAACGUUGUAUCCACUAGGCUACCCCCACCACACAAGCUAUCCCUAGUGGGGUUUUGUGCUGACGUAGUUGGCGUAAAGAGACGCCUGUUAGGUCAUAACUUUGAGGCAUUAUCGGUAGACAUUUCUGAACACUGAUUACCCGUCCUGGAACACAUCUUGUUUGAAGUCGUUUUUGUCUUGGAAAAGCAGAUUUACAUUGUGCCAGAAAGUGUAGACAUUUCUUAUGGUUUACCUUGUCUUGAAACUACAGCUACUACAUGAAAUGGAUAUUAUAAUAAAUAUUGUGUAAUCGCU